This 329-nucleotide ribosomal RNA is filed under the name Roseburia faecis. Its description in RNAcentral is "bacterial SSU rRNA". It matches the Rfam family "Bacterial small subunit ribosomal RNA", at positions 71 to 399 of the family's 1533-position model. Lineage: Bacteria; Bacillati; Bacillota; Clostridia; Lachnospirales; Lachnospiraceae. The record is from RNAcentral.
UCGGAAAUGAAGAUUUUGUGACUGAGUGGCGGACGGGUGAAUGACGCGUGGGUAACCUGCCUCAUACUGGGGGAUAACAGUUGGAAACGACUGCUAAUACCGCAUAAGCGCACAGGAUUGCAUGAUCCGGUGUGAAAAACUCCGGUGGUAUGAGAUGGACCCGCGUCUGAUUAGCCAGUUGGCAUGGUAACGGCCUACCAAAGCGACUAUCAGUAUUCGACCUGAGAGGGUGACCGGCCACAUUGGGACUGACACACGGCCCAUACUCCUACGGGAGGCAUCAGUGGGGAAUAUUGCACAAUGGGGGAAACCCUGAUGCAGUGACGCCG